This is a long non-coding RNA of Oncorhynchus keta (chum salmon), 655 nucleotides long. RefSeq lists it as uncharacterized. The transcript is spliced from 4 exons. Lineage: Eukaryota; Metazoa; Chordata; Actinopteri; Salmoniformes; Salmonidae. The record is from RefSeq and is a predicted model, not a curated record.
AGUAACAUUUUUUCUUGAGAAAUAGCUCUUUGCUAAGAAGCUAUUUUUGUUUCUUUUUGACCAUUUUAAUUGAAAACAAUCAUAGUGAAAUACUUAAUUGUUACUCAGAAAUUAUUUGACAUUGAGAUGAAAAAGGCUACCCGGGCAGCAGGUAGCCAAGUGGUUAGAGCAUUCGGCCAGUAACUGAAAAGUUUCUAGAUCAAAUCCCUGAGCUGACAAGGUGUGUAGGCCCUGAGUCUGUCUGUCUGUCUCUCUGUGCUGCACACCACCGCUGUGCACUUCUGUCUGUCUGGGAACCAUCCCAAACAUUUAGGUUGACAAAACCAACAGCAGAGCUAUCUCAAGGGGAGACAGAGCCUAAUUAUGUUUGUAUUGAAAGGAGGAGGCACAGACAGAUUACAAACAGGAGGAGACAGAGGAGUGAAAGUGGGAGUGGAAUUGAACUCCGACUUCUGGGGAAGUAAGAUGACCUCCUUAACUCUAGGAGACCAAGAUCGAUGCAGGGACAAUGUUGUGAAAUCAAUGAACUAGUCAUGAUCGUUGUACUGAUACACUCACUGAGAAACACAGCAGGGAUGUUUAGAUUAGUUCCAAGGCACUGAAGCUCACACACAAACAGGCACACACACACACACAAACAGGCACACACACACAC